This 468-nucleotide ribosomal RNA is filed under the name uncultured bacterium. RNAcentral describes it as "partial 16S ribosomal RNA". It matches the Rfam family "Bacterial small subunit ribosomal RNA", at positions 28 to 507 of the family's 1533-position model. The record is from RNAcentral.
GACGAACGCUGGCGGCGUGCUUAACACAUGCAAGUCGAACGGAAAGGCCCUGCUUUUGUGGGGUGCUCGAGUGGCGAACGGGUGAGUAACACGUGAGUAACCUGCCCUUGACUUUGUGAUAACUUCAGGAAACUGGGGCUCAUACCGGAUAGGAGCUCCUGCAGCACAGUGGGGGUUGGAAAGUUUCGGCGGUUGGGGAUGGACUCGCGGCUUAUCAGCUUGUUGGUGGGGUAGUGGCUUUCCAAGGCUUUGACGGGUAGCCGGCCUGGGAGGGUGGCCGGCCACCUUGGGACUGAGAUACGGCCCAGAAUCCUACGGGAGGCAGCAGUGGGGAAUAUUGCACAGUGGGCGGACGCCUGAUGCAGCAACGCCGCGUGCGGGAUGACGGCCUUCGGGUUGUAAACCGCUUUCGCCUGUGGCGAAGCGUGAGUGACGGUAAUGGGUAAAGAAGCACCGGCUAACUACGUG